GGAUCCAGACUUUGAUUCUGGCUCAGGAUUAACGCUGGCGGCGCACAUAAGACAUGCAAGUCGAACGGAAGUCGUUAUAACUCAGAACGAAGAUUUAUCUGAGGGACGAGAUAUAACAAUGGCUUUAGUGGCGGACUGGUGGGUAACACGUAAGAAACCUGCCUAUUAGAGGGGAAUAACAACGAGAAAUCGUUGCUAAUACCGCAUAAGCUGGUAGUACCGCAUGGUACAGCUAGAAAAGGAGAAAUCCGCUAAUAGAUGGUCUUGCGUCCGAUUAGCUAGUUGGUGGGGUAACGGCCUACCAAGGCAACGAUCGGUAGCCGAGCUGAGAGGCUCAACGGCCACAUUGGGACUGAGAUACGGCCCAGACUCCUACGGGAGGCAGCAGUCGGGAAUAUUGCGCAAUGGAGGAAACUCUGACGCGGUGACGCCGCGUAUAGGAAGAAGGUUUUCGGAUUGUAAACUAUUUUAGACAGGGAAGAAAUUGACAGUACCUGUAGAAUAAGCUCCGGCUAACUACGUGCCAGCAGCCGCGGUAAUACGUAGGGAGCAAGCGUUAUCCGGAUUUAUUGGGUGUAAAGGGUGCGUAGACGGGAGAACAAGUUAGUUGUGAAAGCCCUCGGCUUAACUGAGGAACUGCAACUAAAACUAUUUUUCUUGAGUGCAGGAGAGGAAAGCGGAAUUCCUAGUGUAGCGGUGAAAUGCGUAGAUAUUAGGAGGAACACCAGUGGCGAAGGCGGCUUUCUGGACUGUAACUGACGUUGAGGCACGAAAGUGUGGGGAGCAAACAGGAUUAGAUACCCUGGUAGUCCACACCGUAAACGAUGGAUACUAGGUGUAGGAGAUGAUUUCAUCAUCUGUGCCGAAAGCAAACGCAAUAAGUAU
This 885-nucleotide ribosomal RNA is filed under the name uncultured Bacillota bacterium. RNAcentral describes it as "bacterial SSU rRNA". It matches the Rfam family "Bacterial small subunit ribosomal RNA", at positions 1 to 867 of the family's 1533-position model. The record is from RNAcentral. Lineage: Bacteria; Bacillati; Bacillota.